CCUACGGGUGGCAGCAGUGGGGAAUAUUGGACAAUGGGGGAAACCCUGAUGCAGCGAUGCCGCGUGAGUGAAGAAGGCUUUAGGUAUGUAAAGCUCUAUCAGCAGGGAAGAAAAUGUCGGUACCUGAUUAAGAAGCCACGGCUCACUACGUGCCAGCAGCCGCGGUACUACGCCGGGGGCAAGCGUUAUACGGAUUUACUGGGUGUAAAGGGAGCGUAGGCGGCUGGACAGGUCGGGAGUGAAAUGCCGGGGCUUAACCCCGGAACUGCUUUUGAGACUGUGGAGCUAGAGUGCAGGAGAGGUAGGUGGAAUGCCUGGUGUAGCGGUGAAAUGCGUAGAGAUUAGGAAGAACACCAGUUGCGAAGGCGGCUUACUGGACUGUAACUGACGUUGAGGCUCGAAAGCGUGGGGAGCAAACAGGAUUAGAUACCCGAGUAGUC
Molecule: ribosomal RNA, 440 nt
Filed under: uncultured bacterium
Lineage: Bacteria
Description: partial 16S ribosomal RNA
Rfam family: Bacterial small subunit ribosomal RNA
Source: RNAcentral